Molecule: ribosomal RNA, 1315 nt
Filed under: Mycobacterium tuberculosis
Lineage: Bacteria; Bacillati; Actinomycetota; Actinomycetes; Mycobacteriales; Mycobacteriaceae
Description: bacterial LSU rRNA
Rfam family: Bacterial large subunit ribosomal RNA
Source: RNAcentral
ACACGGCCCGUACCCCAAACCGACACAGGUGGUCAGGUAGAGCAUACCAAGGCGUACGAGAUAACUAUGGUUAAGGAACUCGGCAAAAUGCCCCCGUAACUUCGGGAGAAGGGGGACCGGAAUAUCGUGAACACCCUUGCGGUGGGAGCGGGAUCCGGUCGCAGAAACCAGUGAGGAGCGACUGUUUACUAAAAACACAGGUCCGUGCGAAGUCGCAAGACGAUGUAUACGGACUGACGCCUGCCCGGUGCUGGAAGGUUAAGAGGACCCGUUAACCCGCAAGGGUGAAGCGGAGAAUUUAAGCCCCAGUAAACGGCGGUGGUAACUAUAACCAUCCUAAGGUAGCGAAAUUCCUUGUCGGGUAAGUUCCGACCUGCACGAAUGGCGUAACGACUUCUCAACUGUCUCAACCAUAGACUCGGCGAAAUUGCACUACGAGUAAAGAUGCUCGUUACGCGCGGCAGGACGAAAAGACCCCGGGACCUUCACUACAACUUGGUAUUGAUGUUCGGUACGGUUUGUGUAGGAUAGGUGGGAGACUGUGAAACCUCGACGCCAGUUGGGGCGGAGUCAUUGUUGAAAUACCACUCUGAUCGUAUUGGGCAUCUAACCUCGAACCCUGAAUCGGGUUUAGGGACAGUGCCUGGCGGGUAGUUUAACUGGGGCGGUUGCCUCCUAAAAUGUAACGGAGGCGCCCAAAGGUUCCCUCAACCUGGACGGCAAUCAGGUGGCGAGUGUAAAUGCACAAGGGAGCUUGACUGCGAGACUUACAAGUCAAGCAGGGACGAAAGUCGGGAUUAGUGAUCCGGCACCCCCGAGUGGAAGGGGUGUCGCUCAACGGAUAAAAGGUACCCCGGGGAUAACAGGCUGAUCUUCCCCAAGAGUCCAUAUCGACGGGAUGGUUUGGCACCUCGAUGUCGGCUCGUCGCAUCCUGGGGCUGGAGCAGGUCCCAAGGGUUGGGCUGUUCGCCCAUUAAAGCGGCACGCGAGCUGGGUUUAGAACGUCGUGAGACAGUUCGGUCUCUAUCCGCCGCGCGCGUCAGAAACUUGAGGAAACCUGUCCCUAGUACGAGAGGACCGGGACGGACGAACCUCUGGUGCACCAGUUGUCCCGCCAGGGGCACCGCUGGAUAGCCACGUUCGGUCAGGAUAACCGCUGAAAGCAUCUAAGCGGGAAACCUUCUCCAAGAUCAGGUUUCUCACCCACUUGGUGGGAUAAGGCCCCCCGCAGAACACGGGUUCAAUAGGUCAGACCUGGAAGCUCAGUAAUGGGUGUAGGGAACUGGUGCUAACCGGCCGAAAACUUACAACACCC